GACGAACGCUGGCGGCGUGCUUAACACAUGCAAGUCGAACGGAGAGACCCGGCUUAGGUGGUGUGCUCGAGUGGCGAACGGGUGAGUAACACGUGAGUAGCCUGCCCUGGACUUUGGGAUAACUUCAGGAAACUGGGGCUUAUACCGGAUAGGAGCUCCUGCUGCAUGGUGGGGGUUGGAAAGGUUCGGCGGUUGGGGAUGGACUCGCGGCUUAUCAGCUUGUUGGUGGGGUAGUGGCUUACCAAGGCUUUGACGGGUAGCCGGCCUGGGAGGGUGACCGGCCACAUUGGGACUGAGAUACGGCGCAGACUCCUCCGGGAGGCAGCAGUGGGGAAUAUUGUACAAUGGGCGGAAGCCUCAUGCAGCACCGCCGCGUGCGGGAUGACGGCCUUCUGGUUGUAAACCGCUUUCGCCUGUGACGAAGCGUGAGUGACGGUACCGUGUAAAGAAGCACCGGCUAACUACGUG
Molecule: ribosomal RNA, 468 nt
Filed under: uncultured bacterium
Lineage: Bacteria
Description: partial 16S ribosomal RNA
Rfam family: Bacterial small subunit ribosomal RNA
Source: RNAcentral